RNAcentral lists this long non-coding RNA (1489 nucleotides) under Sus scrofa (pig). RNAcentral's name for it is "lncRNA (ENSSSCG00070014076.1)". The record is from RNAcentral. Lineage: Eukaryota; Metazoa; Chordata; Mammalia; Artiodactyla; Suidae.
CCCCACCCCUCCCCUCCCGCUCCCCUCUCCCCCACCCCUCCCCUCCCUCUCCCCUCUCCUCCCUCCACCCCUCCCCCGACACUCUCGGUCUCUCUGUCUAAAAUAAACCGAGGUGGUCCCUGGUCUGGGCGUCCUAGGACGUGUCUGAACACCCCGCGGAGGAAGAAGACAGCACCAGCCACUGCUGGCACGGGGCUGCAGCCCCUGGCUACACACACCUCCGAAAGACAGCGGCGACUUCGGACACCUCUCUCCUGCCCCAGCCUGACUCCCCAGGGGCGGUGUGAAACCACGAGUGAUAAUAUCUCCAUCGCCAGCUUUGAACUUCAGGUAGAAGGAGACCUUAUGGCAGUUGGACUAUCUGAGAGACCUGGUGCCCUGUGCCGCCUCCUGCAUAAUGCAUGCGCGCGUGGUAGGAACAGAACCCCGUCCGUGGUGAGUCUGGCCACUGUGGGCCAUGGACGUGUCCAGAGGCCUUGCCAAGGCUGAUGUCUCUAGGAUGUUGGCAGGAGAUGAGGAGACAGAGGGAGUAUGUGUCACCUGAAAAUUUUCCUGGGGCUGAGGUGGGAACAGGUUGCAUCUUGAGCCUCAGGAUUCUGCAAAGAAAAUAGGGGAAGACAUGAGUUCCCAUGGCUCAGCGGUAAGGAACCAAAAUAAUACCCACGAGGACGUGGGUUUGAUCCUUGGCCCUGAUCAGUGGGUUAAGGAUCCGGCAUUGCUGUGAGAUGUGGUGUAGGCUGCAGACUUAGCUUGAAUCCUGCAUUGCUGGCUGUGGGGUAGGUCAGCAGCUGCAGCUCUGAUCUGCAGACCCUAAAAAAGAAAAAAAGAAAAAAAAAAGUGGGCAGUCAGAGUGCCUCACAAGCCCAGGGAAGGCAUCACCUCAUUGGUUGGAUUCCACUCAUUCAUAGAAUCAGUAAGUACUCAAGGCCAAGCUAACUGCUAGGGCUUAAGAUAUGAAGAUGAGGAGUUCCCAUUGUGGCUCAGUGGUUAACGAAGCCAACUAGGAACCAUGAGGUUGUGGGUUCGAUCCCUGGCCUCACUCAGUGGGUUAAGGAUCUGGCGUUGCCUCGAGCUGUGGUGUAGGUCGUAGACUCAGCUCAGAUCCCACAUUGCUGUGGCUCUGGCGUAGGCCAGCGGCUACAGCUCUAAUUGGACCCCUAGCCUGGGAACCUCCAUAUGCCCCGGGUGCAGCCCUAGAAAAAAAAGACAUGAAGAUGAAUCAGGGGAGUUCCUGUUGUGGCUCAGUAGGUUAAGGACCCAAUGUUGUCUCUGUGAGGAUGUGUGUGCAUUUGAUCUCCGGCCUUGCUCAUUGGGUUAAGGAUCCAGUGUUGCUGUGGCUGUGUUGUAGGCUGGCAGCUGCAGCUCUGAUUCAACCUGUGGCCUGUGAACUUCCAUAUGCCACAGGUGCAACCAUAAAAAGAAAAGAAAAAAAAAAAAGGUGAAUCAGGGAGUUCCCGUCGUAGAUUAGUGGGUUAAGAAUCUGGGAGUU